UACGGAAGGCAGCAGUGGGGAAUAUUGCACAAUGGGCGAAAGCCUGAUGCAGCUAUGCCGCGUGUAUGAAGAAGGCCUUAGGGUUGUAAAGUACUUUCAUCGGGGAGGAAAAACAAACUAAUAAUUUUAUUUCUUGACGUUACCCGAAAAAGAAGCACCGGCUAACUCCGUGCUAGCAGCCGCGGUAAUACGGAGGGUGCUAGCGUUAAUCAGAAUUACUGGGCGUAAAGAGCACGUAGGUGGUUUUUUUAAGUCAGAUGUGAAAUCCCUGGGCUUAACCUAGGAACUGCAUUUUGAAACUGAAAUACUAGAGUAUCGUAGAGGGAGGUAGAAUUCUAGGUGUAGCGGUGAAAUGCGUAGAUAUCUGGAGGAAUACCUGUGGCGAAAGCGGCCUCCUAAACCGAAUACUGACACUGAGGGUGCGAAAGCGUGGGGAGCAAACAGGAUUAGAUACC
Molecule: ribosomal RNA, 455 nt
Filed under: uncultured bacterium
Lineage: Bacteria
Description: bacterial SSU rRNA
Rfam family: Bacterial small subunit ribosomal RNA
Source: RNAcentral